RNAcentral lists this ribosomal RNA (699 nucleotides) under uncultured Bacilli bacterium. Its description in RNAcentral is "bacterial SSU rRNA". It matches the Rfam family "Bacterial small subunit ribosomal RNA", at positions 71 to 753 of the family's 1533-position model. The record is from RNAcentral. Lineage: Bacteria; Bacillati; Bacillota; Bacilli.
GACCGGUGCUUGCACUGGUCAAUCUAGUGGCGAACGGGUGAGUAACACGUGGGUAACCUGCCCAUCAGAGGGGGAUAACAUUCGGAAACGGAUGCUAAAACCGCAUAGGUUCUACAGUCGCAUGACUGAAGAAGGAAGAGAGGCUUCGGCUUCUGCUGAUGGAUGGACCCGCGGUGCAUUAGCUAGUUGGUGAGGUAACGGCUCACCAAGGCCGUGAUGCAUAGCCGACCUGAGAGGGUGAUCGGCCACAUUGGGACUGAGACACGGCCCAAACUCCUACGGGAGGCAGCAGUAGGGAAUCUUCCGCAAUGGACGCAAGUCUGACGGAGCAACGCCGCGUGAGUGAAGAAGGAUUUCGGUUCGUAAAACUCUGUUGUUAGAGAAGAACAGCGCAUAGAGUAACUGUUAUGCGUGUGACGGUAUCUAACCAGAAAGCCACGGCUAACUACGUGCCAGCAGCCGCGGUAAUACGUAGGUGGCAAGCGUUGUCCGGAUUUAUUGGGCGUAAAGCGAGCGCAGGCGGUCAAUUAAGUCUGAUGUGAAAGCCCCCGGCUCAACCGGGGAGGGUCAUUGGAAACUGGUUGACUUGAGUGCAGAAGAGGAGAGUGGAAUUCCAUGUGUAGCGGUGAAAUGCGUAGAUAUAUGGAGGAACACCAGUGGCGAAGGCGACUCUCUGGUUCUGUAACUGACGCUGAGGCU